CUCUCUGCUUGGAAUCUUGGUGGGCUCUUGUGUUUCAGCUCCAGGCACACCUGGGAACUCUGGCUCCUUCUCGCCUUCCUUGAUGAUGUGAGUCACUUCAGUGAUGAUGACUGUUUCCGGUUCUUUCUGGUCAUGCGGCUCAUCUGAUGGCUUCCUUGGCUUGCUCUUCUUUUUCUUGCCAGGCUCCUUCUCAUCAGCUUCUGGCUUCUCAGGUGUCUCCUUCCAGCCAAAGAUAGUCGAUGUGGGCUCCUUUCCAGGUGUGCCCUCUCUGCUUGGAAGCUUGGUGGGCUCUUGCGUUUCGGCACCAGGUUCUCCAGGGAACUCUGGCUCCUCCUUGCUUUCCUUGAUGAUGCGAG
Dermacentor silvarum is the source of this 356-nucleotide long non-coding RNA. RefSeq lists it as uncharacterized. The record is from RefSeq and is a predicted model, not a curated record. The transcript has 3 exons. NCBI's taxonomy places the organism in Eukaryota, Metazoa, Arthropoda, Arachnida, Ixodida, Ixodidae.